AUACUUACCUGGUGGGGGAGAUAGCAUGAUCACGAAGGUGGUACUCUCAGGGUGAAGCUCGUCCUUUCACUCAGGUCAUCCUGAGCCCUUGAUUUCCCCAAGCACGGGGAACUCGGCUGCACAAUUUCUGUUGGUAGGGGACUGUGUACAUGCUUUCCUCUG
This is a small nuclear RNA of Ailuropoda melanoleuca (giant panda), 162 nucleotides long. Its record names the gene U1. It matches the Rfam family "U1 spliceosomal RNA". Rfam says of the family: U1 is a small nuclear RNA (snRNA) component of the spliceosome (involved in pre-mRNA splicing). Its 5' end forms complementary base pairs with the 5' splice junction, thus defining the 5' donor site of an intron. NCBI's taxonomy places the organism in Eukaryota, Metazoa, Chordata, Mammalia, Carnivora, Ursidae. The record is from Ensembl.